RNAcentral lists this ribosomal RNA (253 nucleotides) under uncultured bacterium. RNAcentral's name for it is "partial 16S ribosomal RNA". It matches the Rfam family "Bacterial small subunit ribosomal RNA", at positions 524 to 776 of the family's 1533-position model. The record is from RNAcentral.
UACAGAGGGUGCGAGCGUUGUCCGGAAUCACUGGGCGUAAAGGGCGCGUAGGUGGUGACCUAAGCGUGCGGUGAAAGCCCGAGGCUCAACCUCGGGUCGGCCGUGCGAACUGGGUCACUGGAGCAGAAUAGAGGCAGGUGGAAUUCCGGGUGUAGCGGUGGAAUGCGUAGAGAUCCGGAAGAACACCGGUGGCGAAGGCGGCCUGCUGGGUUCUGGCUGACACUGAGGCGCGACAGCGUGGGGGGCAAACAGG